Molecule: microRNA, 20 nt
Filed under: Ciona intestinalis (vase tunicate)
Lineage: Eukaryota; Metazoa; Chordata; Ascidiacea; Phlebobranchia; Cionidae
Description: cin-miR-4083-5p
Source: miRBase by way of RNAcentral
GUGGGUAUAUUAGGAAGCUU